This 433-nucleotide ribosomal RNA is filed under the name uncultured bacterium. RNAcentral describes it as "partial 16S ribosomal RNA". It matches the Rfam family "Bacterial small subunit ribosomal RNA", at positions 29 to 507 of the family's 1533-position model. The record is from RNAcentral.
AGCGAACGCUGGCGGCAGGCCUAACACAUGCAAGUCGAACGAACUCUUCGGAGUUAGUGGCGGACGGGUGAGUAACACGUGGGAACGUGCCUUUUGGUUCGGAAUAACUCAGGGAAACUUGUGCUAAUACCGAAUGUGCCCUUCGGGGGAAAGAUUUAUCGCUAUUAGAGCGGCCCGCGUCUGAUUAGCUAGUUGGUGAGGUAACGGCUCACCAAGGCGACGAUCAGUAGCUGGUCUGAGAGGAUGACCAGCCACACUGGGACUGAGACACGGCCCAGACUCCUACGGGAGGCAGCAGUGGGGAAUCUUGCGGAAUGGGCGAAAGCCUGACGCAGCCAUGCCGCGUGAAUGAUGAAGGUCUUAGGAUUGUAAAAUUCUUUCACCGGGGACGAUAAUGACGGUACCCGGAGAAGAAGCCCCGGCUAACUUCGUG